Molecule: long non-coding RNA, 211 nt
Filed under: Gossypium raimondii (Peruvian cotton)
Lineage: Eukaryota; Viridiplantae; Streptophyta; Magnoliopsida; Malvales; Malvaceae
Description: long non-coding RNA (GRAI_LNC000840)
Source: RNAcentral
CAAGACCAAACAAAAUUGGCCUUUCUUAAUGUCUUUGCUCCGUUCCCAUUACACGUCAACGAGCAAAGAGGGGCAGCAGUAACGGGCCAAUUUUAUCUGGCCUAGAGAAAAAACCAAAAAAAAUAGAUAAAUUAAAAAUAAACAAAUCUUACAAGCCCAAACUAAGCCCAAAAUACAUCACCUAACCCAAAACCCUAAUACCCAAUAACCC